This is a non-coding RNA of Ictidomys tridecemlineatus (thirteen-lined ground squirrel), 72 nucleotides long. The record is from Rfam. Lineage: Eukaryota; Metazoa; Chordata; Mammalia; Rodentia; Sciuridae.
GGGGUUGUGGCUCAGUGGCAGGGCGCUUGCCUAGCACACAGGAGGCUCUGGGUUCGAUCCUCAGCAUCACGU